CUCUGUGACUCCUACGGGAGGCAGCAGUGGGGAAUAUUGCACAAUGGGGGAAACCCUGAUGCAGCCAUGCCGCGUGUGUGAAGAAGGCCUUCGGGUUGUAAAGCACUUUCAGUAGGGAGGAAGGUAGUGUAGUUAACACCUGCAUUAUUUGACGUUACCUACAGAAGAAGCACCGGCUAACUCCGUGCCAGCAGCCGCGGUAAUACGGAGGGUGCGAGCGUUAAUCGGAAUUACUGGGCGUAAAGCGCAUGCAGGCGGCCUGUUAAGUCAGAUGUGAAAGCCCGGGGCUUAACCUCGGAAUUGCAUUUGAAACUGGCAGGCUAGAGUCUUGUAGAGGGGGUAGAAUUUCAGGUGUAGCGGUGAAAAUGCGUAGAGAUCUGAAGGAAUACCAGUGGCGAAGGCGGCCCCCUGGACAAAGACUGACGCUCAGAUGCGAAAGCGUGGGGAGCAAACAGGAUUAGAUACCCUGGUAG
This 473-nucleotide ribosomal RNA is filed under the name uncultured bacterium. RNAcentral describes it as "bacterial SSU rRNA". It matches the Rfam family "Bacterial small subunit ribosomal RNA", at positions 328 to 793 of the family's 1533-position model. The record is from RNAcentral.